This 496-nucleotide ribosomal RNA is filed under the name Meroles reticulatus. RNAcentral describes it as "partial large subunit ribosomal RNA". It matches the Rfam family "Archaeal large subunit ribosomal RNA", at positions 1908 to 2641 of the family's 2987-position model. Lineage: Eukaryota; Metazoa; Chordata; Lepidosauria; Squamata; Lacertidae. The record is from RNAcentral.
AGCCUUUAGCUUAACAAGUAUUAAAGGUUCCACCUGCCCAGUGAUUUAUUAAACGGCCGCGGUAUCCUAACCGUGCAAAGGUAGCAUAAUCACUUGUCCCCUAAAUAGAGACUAGAAUGAAUGGUUUCAUGAGGGCCUAACUGUCUCUUACAUUCAACCAAUAAACCUGAUCCUUCAGUCCAAAAGCUGAAAUAAACCCAUAAGACGAGAAGACCCUGUGGAGCUUCUAAACCAAACCCAAAAAUUUCAUGCCAUUUUGGUUUUCAGUUGGGGCGACUCUGGAGUAUAAAAAACCCUCCAUCACGGAACCUAGUUCUAGAUGCACAUAUCAAAAACCGAACCUAGACCCAGUAGCCAAAUUAAAACUAUCUGACCAAUGAACCAAGUUACCCCAGGGAUAACAGCGCCAUCCUCUUCUAGAGUCCCUAUCGACAAGAGGGUUUACGACCUCGAUGUUGGAUCCGGACAUCCCUAUAGUGCAGCCGCUAUAAAAGGU